GAAUUCCACAGCAUGUCCUCUUGUUCCUCAUUUGAUACCUACACUUCUUGUGCUCUUCUUUGAAGCACUUGACAUCUUUCUUCUUGGCCGAAAGAAUCACUUUCCUCUCACUAUCUUCUUGUCCUGAUUUACUACCAAUGAAAACGCUACUCUCUGGUAUGAAGGCGGACAACUCAAAUUUCUUCUUGGCCGAAAGAAUCACUUUCC
Molecule: unclassified non-coding RNA, 207 nt
Filed under: Hevea brasiliensis (rubber tree)
Lineage: Eukaryota; Viridiplantae; Streptophyta; Magnoliopsida; Malpighiales; Euphorbiaceae
Source: RNAcentral